Long non-coding RNA from Ornithodoros turicata, 850 nucleotides. RefSeq lists it as uncharacterized. NCBI's taxonomy places the organism in Eukaryota, Metazoa, Arthropoda, Arachnida, Ixodida, Argasidae. The transcript is spliced from 2 exons. The record is from RefSeq and is a predicted model, not a curated record.
UGGCUAGGAGCAUGCUAUGCGGUGAAGUUCAUUUUUAAGAGUGUACUUGUGUACGUGUCCGUGAAACGAGAAAGGUGGAGCUCUAUAAUCCGAUAUCAAAUUUAGACGUUCAAAUUUAGGCCAGGUUGCUGUCACGCAUGGAGGCGUCUACAUCACGUGGCGUGUGAAAAAAUGCCGUUUUUGAGCGCUCAUAUCUAAAGAACUUAAAAUUCUUCAAACUUCGUAAGGACAUGUUUUCGUAUACGAUAUUUCAAUGCACAGAAAAUCGGACUUUGUUUCCUAGCACAAUAAAAGUUAGAGCGUGCAUCCGACUGUGCUGCGUGUAAUUACCGCCUGGAGGCGCUGCAAUAAGUUCACUGGUCGAUAUUCACGUUUCUCGUGACACAGCGGAACGACGUGGUACUUGUUGUCUACUCGAGGAGAUGUCUCUCAGUUAGCAUUGAAGUAUAUAGACAACGGUUUCUGUGUCCCUUCGGCGAGUACUUUGCUAUGCCAUGAGCAGCCGCUGCUGGUAAUGAACAGCGAGGAACGCUACCCCCCAGUGGAGCUGUAUCGGACUUCAGUAGGGAUUUCGUGUGUAACAGCUGCGUGUUGACACUGUUUCGACUCGCCGCUGCUUUACAGUCUAUAUCUUCGCCAUGAACAUGAAAGUAGGUGAAGACCGUAUCCACUGCGCGAUAUAUAUGAACAGGCACAGACAGAAGGCACUUGUUAUGUGUAUGUCUUCGUGGGAUGAUGCGUUCUGACGCCCAAACAGUAUUGUAGCGUGGGCGAGUCCGAUUUCCUUUGCCACAACUUCUAAUGCAAUCAGUCAUAUGUCAAUAAAUAGUGUGUGGUGGUGGUAGAAAAG